GACGAACGCUGGCGGCGUGCUUAACACAUGCCAGUCGAACGGAAAGGCCCUGCUUUUGUGGGGUGCUCGAGUGGCGAACGGGUGAGUAACACGUGAGUAACCUGCCCUUGACUUUGGGAUAACUUCAGGAAACUGGGGCUAAUACCGGAUAGGAGCUCCUGCUGCAUGGGGGGGGGGGGAAAGUUUCGGCGGUUGGGGAUGGACUCGCGGCUUAUCAGCUUGUUGGUGGGGUAGUGGCUUACCAAGGCUUUGACGGGUAGCCGGCCUGAGAGGGUGACCGGCCACAUUGGGACUGAGAUACGGCCCAGACUCCUACGGGAGGCAGCAGUGGGGAAUAUUGCACAAUGGGCGGAAGCCUGAUGCAGCAACGCCGCGUGCGGGAUGACGGCCUUCGGGUUGUAAACCGCUUUCGCCUGUGACGAAGCGUGAGUGACGGUAAUGGGUAAAGAAGCACCGGCUAACUACGUG
This 468-nucleotide ribosomal RNA is filed under the name uncultured bacterium. Its description in RNAcentral is "partial 16S ribosomal RNA". It matches the Rfam family "Bacterial small subunit ribosomal RNA", at positions 28 to 507 of the family's 1533-position model. The record is from RNAcentral.